AUUGAACGCUGGCGGCAGGCCUAACACAUGCAAGUCGAACGGUGACAGGAAGAAGCUUGCUUCUUUGCUGACGAGUGGCGGACGGGUGAGUAAUGUCUGGGAAACUGCCUGAUGGAGGGGGAUAACUACUGGAAACGGUAGCCAAUACCGCAUAAUGUCGCAAGACCAAAGAGGGGGACCUUCGGGCCUCUUGCCACCGGAUGUGCCCAGAUGGGAUUAGCUAGUAGGUGGGGUAACGGCUCACCUAGGCGACGAUCCCUAGCUGGUCUGAGAGGAUGACCAGCCACACUGGAACUGAGACACGGUCCAGACUCCUACGGGAGGCAGCAGUGGGGAAUAUUGCACAAUGGGCGCAAGCCUGAUGCAGCUAUGCCGCGUGUAUGAAGAAGGCCUUCGGGUUGUAAAGUACUUUCAGCGGGGAGGAAGGGAGUAAAGUUAAUACCUUGGCUCAUUGACGUUACCCGCAGAAGAAGCACCGGCUAACUCCGUG
This 490-nucleotide ribosomal RNA is filed under the name uncultured bacterium. Its description in RNAcentral is "partial 16S ribosomal RNA". It matches the Rfam family "Bacterial small subunit ribosomal RNA", at positions 30 to 507 of the family's 1533-position model. The record is from RNAcentral.